This is a long non-coding RNA of Melospiza melodia melodia, 149 nucleotides long. RefSeq lists it as uncharacterized. NCBI's taxonomy places the organism in Eukaryota, Metazoa, Chordata, Aves, Passeriformes, Passerellidae. The record is from RefSeq and is a predicted model, not a curated record. The transcript is spliced from 3 exons.
CCUGGAGCUGCCCCAGUAGAGGAGACUGAAGAGGUGGUGCCGUUCCAACCACCGCAGGAGGAUGCAGCCCUGGAGCGCACACAAGAGCAGGAGUCCAGCCGUGGCCGUUUCCGCUGUACAGGGCAGAUGGCUGGCAAAUUCAUGAAGAG